UGCUGGCAGCUAUCUGAAGAACAGUAGGGGAACCAGUGUUAAGAUGAAGUUGAAGUUAGAACAGAGAUAAAGGAAGAGAAAAAAUUCUAAGUGGAACUAUUGAAGCCAGCAUACCUUUCAUCUUUUAAAAUUAGGUGAGCUAAUAAGCCCCUUUUAAAGUUUAAGCUAUUUGAGUCAGAUGUUUUUUCUUUUUUACACGCCGUCGAAAGAGACAGCAGGCAAUCCGGUGGCAUUACAGAGAGUUGAACUCCAGAGCG
This 257-nucleotide long non-coding RNA is filed under the name Homo sapiens (human). RNAcentral describes it as "HSALNT0047046". Lineage: Eukaryota; Metazoa; Chordata; Mammalia; Primates; Hominidae. The record is from RNAcentral.